AUGAACGCUGGCGGCGUGCCUAAUCCCUGCCAGUCGCGCGAACAGACGAGGAGCUUGCUCCUCUGACGUUAGCGGCGGACGGGUGAGUAACACGUGGAUAACCUACCUAUAAGACUGGGAUAACUUCGGGAAACCGGAGCUAAUACCGGAUAAUAUAUUGAACCGCAUGGUUCAAUAGUGAAAGACGGUUUUGCUGUCACUUAUAGAUGGAUCCGCGCCGCAUUAGCUAGUUGGUAAGGUAACGGCUUACCAAGGCAACGAUGCGUAGCCGACCUGAGAGGGUGAUCGGCCACACUGGAACUGAGACACGGUCCAGACUCCUACGGGAGGCAGCAGUAGGGAAUCUUCCGCAAUGGGCGAAAGCUUGACGGAGCAACGCCGCGUGAGUGAUGAAGGUCUUCGGAUCGUAAAACUCUGUUAUUAGGGAAGAACAAAUGUGUAAGUAACUAUGCACGUCUUGACGGUACCUAAUCAGAAAGCCACGGCUAACUACGUG
RNAcentral lists this ribosomal RNA (496 nucleotides) under uncultured bacterium. RNAcentral's name for it is "partial 16S ribosomal RNA". It matches the Rfam family "Bacterial small subunit ribosomal RNA", at positions 29 to 507 of the family's 1533-position model. The record is from RNAcentral.